Molecule: non-coding RNA, 119 nt
Organism: Octopus bimaculoides (California two-spot octopus)
Lineage: Eukaryota; Metazoa; Mollusca; Cephalopoda; Octopoda; Octopodidae
Source: Rfam
GCUUACGGCCAUAUUACGUUGAAAGCACCGGUCCUCGUCCGAUCACCGAAGUUAAGCAACAUUGAGCCUAGUUAGUACUUAGAUGGGUGACCGCUUGGGAAACCUAGGUGCUGUAAGCA